AGUCAGAUAUUAAAUCUUGGGCCCAACUCCAAGGCUGUAUCUGAAACUGGUAGACUAGAGUCUUUCAGGGCAAGCAGAAUUCUGUGUGUAGGGGUAAAAUCCGUAGAUACACAGAGGAAUACCAAAAGCGAAGGCAGCUUGCUGGGAAAGUACUGACACUCAUGGACGAAAGCGUAGGUAGCGAACGGGAUUAGAUACCCCGGUAGUCUACGCCGUAAACGAUGGAUACUAGUUGUUGGAGGGCUCGACCCCUUCAGUGACGACGCUAACGCAUUAAGUAUCCCGCCUGGGGAGUACGGUCGCAGGAUUAAAACUCAAAGGAAUAGACGGGGACCCACACAAGCGGUGGAGCACCUGGCUUAAUUCGAUAAUGAGCGAGGAACCUCACCUGGACUUGACAUCCCGAGAAUUUUCUAGAAAUAGAAAAGUGCCUUAUGGAACUCGGUGACAGGUGCUGCAUGGUUGUCGUCAGCUCGUGCCUUGAGGUGUUCGGUUAAGUCCGUAAACGAGCGCAACCCAUGUCCUGUGUUGCAUUUUUCACAGGAGACUGCCGGUUCCAAGCCGGAGGAAGGUAUGGAUGACGUCAAAUCAGCAUGGCCCUUAUGUCCAGGGCUGCACAGGUGCUACAAUGGUCGGUACAAUGGGUAGCAAUACUGUAAAGUGGAGCCAAUCCACAAAACCGAUCUAAGUUCGAAUUGAGGGCUGCAACUCGCCCUCAUGAAGUUGGAAUCGCUAGUAAACGCGGAUCAGCAAUGGCGCGUUGAAUACGUUCCUGGGUCUUGUACUCACCGCCCGUCACACUACGGAAGGUGGAGGCGCCCGAAGUACCCUUAGCUUUUAGCGGGGUCCUAAGGUGAAAUCACUGACUGGAGUGAAGUCGUAACAAGGUAACC
This 893-nucleotide ribosomal RNA is filed under the name uncultured bacterium. RNAcentral's name for it is "bacterial SSU rRNA". It matches the Rfam family "Bacterial small subunit ribosomal RNA", at positions 586 to 1501 of the family's 1533-position model. The record is from RNAcentral.